GACAGUUGCAAUAGUCUCAUUAAGAGAUACAGAAAUUGCUUGAUUGCAGUGAUUGCCUCAAAAGUUGGGCAACAAAAUAUUAAGUUAUGGGUACCAUCAUUUUUGUCCAGGCCAGUUUCAUUAGUUUACGCCGUCACACAAUUCU
This is a long non-coding RNA of Bufo bufo (common toad), 145 nucleotides long. RefSeq lists it as uncharacterized. The record is from RefSeq and is a predicted model, not a curated record. Lineage: Eukaryota; Metazoa; Chordata; Amphibia; Anura; Bufonidae. The transcript is spliced from 3 exons.